GAAGGGGGCUAGCGUUGUUCGGAAUUACUGGGCGUAAAGCGCGCGUAGGCGGUUUUGCAAGCCAGAGGUGAAAUGCCUGAGCUCAACUUAGGAAUUGCCUUUGGGACUGCGAGGCUUUGAGGACUGGAGAGGUGAGUGGAAUUCCCAGUGUAGAGGUGAAAUUCGUAGAUAUUGGGAAGAACACCAGUGGCGAAGGCGGCUCACUGGCCAGUUUCUGACGCUGCAGCGCGAAAGCGUGGGGAUCAAACAGGAUUAGAUACCCUGGUAGUCCACGCUGUAAACGAUGAGUGCUAGGCGUCGGCACGCUUGCGUGUCGGUGCCGCAGCUAACGCGUGAAGCACUCCGCCUGGGGAGUACGGUCGCAAGAUUAAA
Molecule: ribosomal RNA, 372 nt
Filed under: uncultured bacterium
Lineage: Bacteria
Description: bacterial SSU rRNA
Rfam family: Bacterial small subunit ribosomal RNA
Source: RNAcentral